RNAcentral lists this long non-coding RNA (5380 nucleotides) under Brassica napus (rape). RNAcentral's name for it is "long non-coding RNA (BNAP_LNC012823)". The record is from RNAcentral. Lineage: Eukaryota; Viridiplantae; Streptophyta; Magnoliopsida; Brassicales; Brassicaceae.
GGGAACCUCGCUUUCCUCUGAGCAAAAGCUUGACUCUUUCCAAAAGAGUUUGAUGAGACGAGAGAUGAUAAUCUGCUCGCAGGAGGAGCUAAGGAUGAGCCCAUUGAAGACGCUGCGCUGAAGGUUGAAGCCAUGAUUCCACUUUCUCUGCAAAACUCAAACAAUAAUAAAAAAUGAUAACUUUACGAUUCAGUGAUCUAAGAAAGCGUUAAAAGAUCCAAACUUUGUAAUCAUCGAAGAGCAAAAACGAAAAAGGGUAUCUGAAAGCAAACAACUUUCUACCUAACUAACACUCGAGCAAAUAGUUAUUGAAAAAUCAAAAGACGAUUACAACUUCAACACUUACUGAGAAUUGAUCGAGAGAGGGAGGAUGGGUCAAGGGUUUUAGCAAAAGGAGGGUUAUGCAAUUGUAGAAGUUACUUAUAUAGUACACACUCUAGUCGAAUCGAAGUGUGUGCAGUUCUUCGACGAUCGCGUCUUCAAGGAUUCUGAUUGAAUCUGAGCCGUUAAUUUGGAAGUCUCUUGAACUUAAAACCCUAAAAAACUCCACCAACUCUAUUCUACACGUACGAGAGCGAGAUUGCUGAAAUCAUUUUUUUGACACGUGCGAAGCACCAAAUACGGCAUCGUUCUCCCUUGCUUGACAAUGCUAUUGUGGGCCUUUCUUAGAAAAAAAACUUCUUUCUCCCAGUUUCAGCCCACUGGUUUUAUUUAAUUUCGGUUAAUUUAGUGUUUUAUAAUUUAAUAUGGGCCCAUAAUAACGUUUUGGGGACAUAAUCUCGUCUCUCUCUCUCUCUCUCUCUCUCUCUCCAUCUGAUUCUGCCAUUGUUUAGGGUUACAGAUGGACAUGAUUAGUAGACUGUCCGAUGAUCUACUGUUGAAGAUCCUGUCAUCACUUCCUACCAAAGAUGUCGUUUCCACUAUGCUACUGUCCAAGCGGUGGAAGUUUCUUUGGACGAUGGUUCCAGCUCUUUAAUUUCAAAACGAUUUCGAAAGCUCUAAUAAGGAUGAUUACGCCAAGUUUCGACAACAUGUUUACUUGUUUAUGGUUUUGCACAAGUCUCCUGUUCUGGAAACUUUAAAGCUCAGACUUGGUUGGCAUUCCACCACCGAUGAUAUCACGAUAUGGAUCAAAAUCGCAGUGGCUCGCCGUGUUCGUAAACUCAAGAUUCACUGUUAUACCGAUGAUGAUGAUAUAUUUUUGCCGAGUUGUCUUUAUACGUAUAACAACCUCGAGGUCUUGAAACUUGGCAACUCCGUUGUUCUCGAUGUUCCUGAAGAUGUUUGUCUCCCCUCCUUGAAAACUCUGCACUUGCUGUGUGUAGAGUUUCGAAACGAAGAAUCUGCACGUAGGCUUUUAUCUGGUGGCUGUCCUGUACUUGAAGAGUUCGUUUUGGACAAAAGUGAGAACGUCUCUCCGCCUUGUUUCUAUCUGGAAGUGCCUUCCUUGCAGAGAUUGUCUAUUCUUGAUACGUAUCUAGAGGGAAACGAUUCCGACGUGAAAGUUGUGAUAAAGACUCCCUCUCUGAGGUACUUGAACGUUGUGGAUAAAUGUGAUUCUGGUCUCUUGUUUCUGAGCGAGAACAUGCCGGAUAUGGUUGUGGCAAAUGUUAGUGUUGUUUACAAAAAUCCCGAGAUGCUAAUGACAUCUUUUACAUCGGUUAAACGUCUCUCUCUUUAUGUUUAACCACCUCAAUGGUAAGCAAAACUAUAAAAGAACCAGUGUAUUAUUGUGAUUUAAAUUCGUAUUAUUUAUUUGCUCAUGUGCUCAUUAUGUUUUAGUUGGUUUCUCUGUGCAGAUUCAACAUCGUGUUGAGUUUAACCAGCUUGUUCAUCUAGAACUAUGCUCAAGUGUGGAGAAGUGGUGUGAACUACUUAAUUGGAUGCUUGAAAGUUCUCCUAAGCUAAAGGUUCUCAAGCUCAACAAGGUAUACAUUUAAACUCAACCCUAUAAUUGAUUCAGUUUUCAAGCUUUAAUUAAUGAUCUAAAACAUUCUUUUUGUGAUGUUAGUGUAAACCACAUAGAUUUGUUUAUGCGAAGCACAUUGAAUAUCCUUGGGGAAAACCGAGUUCGGUUCCUGAGUGUUUGUUGUUCCAUCUCAAUACUUUUGAAUGGAACUUUUACAAUGGGUGCCGGGAAGAGAAGAAAAUGGUGGCUUACAUCCUAAGACAUGCAAAACGGUUGAAGAGUGCGAAAAUAUCUCUGUGGGAUUUGGAUUGUGAAGAUGAAACUCAUAUAUUCACUGAGUGGCGUUCUUUCCAUAGGGCUUCAAAGUUAUGUCAGCUUCUGUCUGAACGUGAACCUAGAAGUAAUUGGUAUGAAAGUUAGAUAGUGUUGGAAAGCUGUUAUAUGUUGUUAUAUCUACUUUAUUUCUCUUACACUCUAGGUGAUAAUAUUGGUUGUACCGUAGUCCCUUUUGAGGAUUUGGCUGGAACACUAUGCAUCUUGAUUCUUUUCUUCUUGUUAUAGAAUGUAUGAGAAGGAAUCUAAUUUGCAGAUAAAAAAAAGAACAUGGUUUGUGAGCCAGAGUUUUCAUCUUUUCUUUUCGGAAAUUUGUAAUCCAUCUGAGUUUUCAUUAUGGAUAAAGAUUACAACGGUUCCAAGAGAUGGUCAAAGAACUUUGAGCCUGAAAUAUAAGAGUGCGAAAGUGUCAGGCUUUUUACCACGGGUAGAUGAGUUUAUACUCGACUUGCUGCAAGCUUUUAGGUGUUCUUGCCAUUAUCUAACACGGAGUAGAUACUGUCAAGGCAAUUCCCACAGUGUUCAGAGGACGUUCUGCUUAUGGACCGGAACAUAGCUAGCUGAUCAUCCCCUAUUUAGUAAUGCGCUGCUAUUACUUAAAACCGUAGUACUUGCAUUUGACGCAAAGAAAGCUUUAAUGAAACUGUUUGGAUGUUUUAGUGGUUCUGUAGCACUUGGAAGUUGACGACAUUUUUUUUACUUUUUGACAAAUUGAUACAUUCUUCUAGCUCUCUCUCGUUCUCUUUUUGAUCACAAGACUCAUAACCUCCUACUUUACUUGCGUCUCAUGAAACCAAGACUUGGGUUACUUAUAUCUUGUCCAAGCGUAGUUUCUUCCGCUUAUACAAUAUCUAAUUCGCAAAAUAUAAUCAAGAUUUGGGUACUAUUAACCCUGCACAAGGCGGUCUGGAUAUUGCUAGAAACACUGCAAAGUUUCUUAUAAGCAAACAGAAAAUAAGUUCGGGGAAAAACCAACACAGGUUAUAAUACUCUAGAAGAUAAAAAAAGGCAAAAACCAGAAGAAAUAGUUUUAAGGACAGAACGCGACAACAGAAAAGCCAAGAAAAAUCAUUAGCUGCAGACAGCAGUUUUUAGUCGACCUCCUCCAUCUUGCUGCCUUCAGCAUCGGCAUCAUCCUCAAGCGGGGGCAUCUCUGCAUCAGCUUCGACUGCAUCAUCCUCGUCAAUGCUCAAUCCCAGCUUCAACAUCCUGUGGAUUCUGCUCCCGAAAGUGUUUGGCUCGUCUAGGCUGAAUCCAGAAGUGAGAAGAGCAGUCUCAAAGAGGAGGAGAACAAGAUCUUUCACAGACUUGUCAUUCUUGUCGGCCUCAGCUCUCUUCCUCAGCUCGUCCAUGAUCGCAUUCUCGGGAUUGAUCUCCAUUGUCUUCUUGGAAGACAUGUAGCCAGCCAUGCUGCUGUCCCUCAAAGCCUGCGCUUUCAUGAUCCUCUCCAUGUUUGCGGUCCAGCCGUAUUCACCGGUAACGAGGCAGCAUGGUGAGUCCACAACACGGUCAGAGACAAUGACCUUCUCGACCUUGUCUCCAAGAACAUCCUUGAUGACUUUGCAAAGUCCUUCGAACUUCUCCUUGAGCUCUUCCUUUUUCUUCUUCUCGUCCUCUGACUCUCCCAGUUUCAAACCUUCUUUGGUUGCAGAGACGAGCUUCUUUCCCUCAAAUUCCUUGAGUUGCCCAAUGGCAUACUCAUCGAUGGCAUCAACCAUGUAGAGAACCUCAAACCCUUUCUUCUUGAGCUUCUCGAGGAAUGGAGAGUUCUCCACAGCCUUCUUGCUCUCACCGGUGAUGUAAAAGAUAUCCUCCUGACCUUCCUUCAUCCUUGUCACGUAGUCCUUGAGACUGGUCAACUCAUCGCCGCUCUUGGUCGAGUGGUAACGGAGCAACUCGGCGUAGUUUCAAAAUAAGAUUUUCCUUAUCAGCUUAACUAAUAAAGAGUAAUUAUACCUUGCAGUUCUCGUAUUCUGCGCACAUCUUCUCACUGUCAGUGACAAAGUAAGGAGAAAUGUAGCCACGGUCAAACUGCAUCCCUUCAACGACGUAGAGACUGUUCUCAGCGCUUUUGCCUUCUUCGAGAGUGACCACACCUUUGCGUCCAACUUUAGCCAUUGCUUCCGCAAUCAUGUUGCCUACUUCGUAGUUGUUUCCUGCACUAACUGCUGCCACAUCUGCAAGCUCACUAUCUUCCACCUGCAACCCAAAAACAUAACAAUCAUUCUAAUGAUAAUGAAACAGAGCAAUGAACACGAAAAUUUGAUUAGUGUAAUAAUACAGUACCUCUUUUGACAUCUUCUUUAACUCGGCAACAAGAGCUUUGGUGGUUUUCUCGAUUCCUCUGGUGAUCAACACCGGGUUUGCACCAGCAGCCACCACCUUUACACCUUCAGUGAUGAGACCUUGCGCAAGAACAACGGAAGUGGUCGUUCCGUCACCGGCUAAGUCAUUGGUCUUGGAAGCAGCUUGCCUCACUAGCUUAGCACCAAUGUUCUCAACUGGAUCCUCAAGCUCAACCUUUAACAGAAACAUAAGAAUCUUAAAAUCAACAAAACCAAAGGCUACUAGCUCUACUAAUCAUUACCUCUCUAGCGACUGUAACACCGUCGUUAACGAUUCUUGGUGAGCCGUACUUGCUCUCGAGAACAACGUUCCUGCCUUUAGGACCUAGAGUGACUCCAACUAGAUCCGCGAGCUUGUUCACACCAGCCUUAACACAAGGAAAACGAGACUCAUUAGAAAACAGCUGGUGAAAAUCGAAAAGUAUUAUCAUCAUUAGGGAGACUCUCACUUGAAGCUUCCUAAUGGCAGUGCCGUCUUUAUUGAAAUGCAACUGCUUAGCCGCGUAGAUCUUGGGGAACCUCGCUUUCCUCUGAGCAAAAGCUUGACUCUUUCCAAAAGAGUUUGAUGAGACGAGAGAUGAUAAUCUGCUCGCAGGAGGAGCUAAGGAUGAGCCCAUUGAAGACGCUGCGCUGAAGGUUGAAGCCAUGAUUCCACUUUCUCUGCAAAACUCAAACAAUAAUAAAAAAUGAUAACUUUACGAUUCAGUGAUCUAAGAAAGCGUUAAAAGAUCCAAACUUUGUAAUCAUCGAAGAGCAAAAACGAAAAAGGGUAUCUGAAAGCAAACAACUUUCU